ACUCCCUCGUCCUGUCCCCCUCCCAGACGUUGAUGAACAAGACAUUCUUCCUACCAACUCCCUCGUCCUGUCCCCCUCCCAGACGUUGAUGAACAGGACAUUCUUCCUACCAACUCCCUCGUCCUGUCCCCCUCCCAGACGUUGAUGAACAGGACAUUCUUCCUACCAACUCCCUCGUCCUGUCCCCCUCCCAGACGUUGAUGAACAAGACAUUCUUCCUACCAACUCCCUCGUCCUGCCCCCCUCCCAGACGUUGAUGAACAGGACAUUCUUCCUACCAACUCCCUCGUCCUGCCCCCUCCCAGACGUUGAUGAACAGGACAUUCUUCCUACCAACUCCCUCAUCCUGUAUCCCCUCCCAGACGUUGAUGAACAGGACAUUCUUCCUACCAACUCCCUCAUCCUGUAUCCCCUCCCAGACGUUGAUGAACAAGACAUUCUUCCUACCAACUCCCUCAUCCUGUAUCCCCUCCCAGAUGUUGAUGAACAGGGGUUACUGUCAAUCCAAGGGACAGGUUAUACUGAUGUUGAUUGGGUAACAUAUGUCCCUAGACACAGAUGAUGAACAGGGGUUACUGUCAAUCCAAGGGACAGGUUAUACUGAUGUUGAUUGGGUAACAUAUGUCCCUAGACACAGAUGAUGAACAGGGGUUACUGUCAAUCCAAGGGACAGGUUUUACUGAUGUUGAUUGGGUAACAUAUGUCCCUAGACACAGAUGAUGAACAGGGGUUACUGUCAAUCCAAGGGACAGGUUAUACUGAUGUUGAUUGGGUAACAUAUGUCCCUAGACAAAGAUGAUGAACAGGGGUUACUGUCAAUCCAAGGGACAGGUUAUACUGAUGUUGAUUGGGUAACAUAUGUCCCUAGAUAAAGAUGAUGAACAGGGGUUACUGUCAAUCCAAGGGACAGGUUAUACUGAUGUUGAUUGGGUAACAUAUGUCCCUAGAUAAAGAUGAUGAAGUUCACAUCACUUCACUUCCAUUUGUCUCUGUUAUUUCUUGUAUUGUCAACAUUCACGACUAAGGAAGUAGGCCUUUAUAUUUCACUGUUGGCCAGUUAAAGGUCCAAAGCAGCUGUUUUUAUCUCAAUAUCAAAUUAUUUCUGGGUAACAUUUAAGUGCCUUACAGUGAUUGUUUUUAAUUAAAUGGUUAAAAAAAUUUGGGGACAAAAUUUGCUAAUAGUUUGUUAGCAAAGAGACAUUUCUCAAGCAAGAAUUUAUCUGGAACUGUCUGGGUGUGGUCAGAGUGGGGAGGAGACAACGGAAAACUAGCUGUUAUUGGCAGAGAGGUUUUGGAACUCUCUGUCUUAUUGGUCUAUUAACUCAUGUAUCACCCGGUGAUGUCACCAGGCAGGCCAACACUCCUUCCCACCAAAACAGACUGAUAUUUCAGGAGGUCUUUUCAAACAGCUCACUACACUAAACGGACAUGAUCAUCAUUUACAACCUCAUAGUGUUGAAAUAUAUAUAUGUAAAAUACAGGAAACACACAUAUUUUAGUUGUUGACUGUACUACACCUUUAAAUCCUUACCAGGAAGCAUUUAUGUAAACACACUGUACCUAGUGAGAAACCUGAACCAUUACACCACAUAUCAGUAGGAUAUGA
Molecule: long non-coding RNA, 1606 nt
Organism: Oncorhynchus tshawytscha (Chinook salmon)
Lineage: Eukaryota; Metazoa; Chordata; Actinopteri; Salmoniformes; Salmonidae
Source: Ensembl